Molecule: microRNA, 23 nt
Filed under: Ananas comosus (pineapple)
Lineage: Eukaryota; Viridiplantae; Streptophyta; Magnoliopsida; Poales; Bromeliaceae
Description: microRNA s0303_c101
Source: RNAcentral
CCUCCGCCUCGCCGCUUCGCCGU